This 468-nucleotide ribosomal RNA is filed under the name uncultured bacterium. Its description in RNAcentral is "partial 16S ribosomal RNA". It matches the Rfam family "Bacterial small subunit ribosomal RNA", at positions 28 to 507 of the family's 1533-position model. The record is from RNAcentral.
GACGAACGCUGGCGGCGUGCUUAACACAUGCAAGUCGAACGGAAAGGCCCUGCUUUUGUGGGGUGCUCGAGUUGCGAACGGGUGAUUAACCCUUGAGUAACCUGCCCUUUACUUUGGGAUAACUUCAUGAAACUUUGGCUAAUACCGGAUAGGAGCUCCUGCUGCAUGGUGGGGGUUGGAAAGUUUCGGCGGUUGGGGAUGGACUCGCGGCUUAUCAGCUUGUUGGUGGGGUAGUGGAUUACCAAGGCUUUGACGGGUAGCCGGCCUGAGAGGGUGACCGGACAAAUUGGGACUGAGAUACGGCCCAGACUCAUACGGGAGGCAGAAGUGGGGAAGAGUGCACAAGGGGAGGAAGCCUGAUGCAGCAAAGCCGCGUGCGGGAUGACGGCAUUCGGGUUGUAAACCGCUGUCGCCUGUGACGAAGCGUGAGUGACGGUAAUGGGUAAAGAAGCACCGGCUAACUACGUG